This 1333-nucleotide ribosomal RNA is filed under the name uncultured bacterium. RNAcentral's name for it is "bacterial SSU rRNA". It matches the Rfam family "Bacterial small subunit ribosomal RNA", at positions 28 to 1381 of the family's 1533-position model. The record is from RNAcentral.
GACGAACGCUGGCGGCGUGCUUAACACAUGCAAGUCGAGCGACAGUCUCUUUCGGGGGAUAUGGAGCGGCGAACGGGUGAGUAACACGUGGGCAACCUGCCCUCAGCUCUGGGAUAACUCCGGGAAACCGGGGCUAAUACCGGAUAUGACUGCUCCUGGCAUCGGGGGUGGUGGAAAGUUCUUCGGCUGAGGAUGGGCCCGCGGCCUAUCAGCUUGUUGGUGGGGUUACGGCCUACCAAGGCGACGACGGGUAGCCGGCUUGAGAGGGCGACCGGCCACACUGGGACUGAGACACGGCCCAGACUCCUACGGGAGGCAGCAGUGGGGAAUAUUGCGCAAUGGGCGAAAGCCUGACGCAGCGACGCCGCGUGAGGGAUGAAGGCCUUCGGGUUGUAAACCUCUUUCAGCAGGGACGAAGCGAGAGUGACGGUACCUGCAGAAGAAGCACCGGCCAACUACGUGCCAGCAGCCGCGGUAAUACGUAGGGUGCAAGCGUUGUCCGGAAUUAUUGGGCGUAAAGAGCUCGUAGGCGGUCUGUCGCGUCGGCUGUGAAAACUCGGGGCUCAACCCCGAGCCUGCAGUCGAUACGGGCAGACUAGAGUGCUGUAGGGGAGACUGGAAUUCCUGGUGUAGCGGUGAAAUGCGCAGAUAUCAGGAGGAACACCGGUGGCGAAGGCGGGUCUCUGGGCAUAAUGACGCUGAGGAGCGAAAGCGUGGGGAGCGAACAGGAUAGAUACCCUGGUAGUCCACGCCGUAAACGGUGGUUGUUAGGUGUGAGCGGUAUUCCACGCCGUUCGUGCCGCAGUAAACGCAUUAAGCACCCCGCCUGGGGAGUACGGCCGCAAGGCUAAAACUCAAAGGAAUUGACGGGGGCCCGCACAAGCAGCGGAGCAUGUGGCUUAAUUCGACGCAACGCGAAGAACUUUACCAAGGCUUGACAUACAGGGAAAUUUCUCAGAGAUGGGAGGUCCGCAAGGGUCCUGCACAGGUGGUGCAUGGUUGUCGUCAGCUCGUGUCGUGAGAUGUUGGGUUAAGUCCCGCAACGAGCGCAACCCUCGUUCUAUGUUGCCAGCGCGUGAUGGCGGGGACUCAUAGGAGACUGCCGGGGUCAACUCGGAGGAAGGUGGGGACGACGUCAAAUCAUCAUGCCCCUUAUGUCUUGGGCUGCACACAUGCUACAAUGGCCGGUACAAUGGGCUGCUAAACCGCGAGGUGGAGCGAAUCCCAAAAAGCCGGUCUCAGUUCGGAUUGGGGUCUGCAACUCGACCCCAUGAAGUCGGAGUUGCUAGUAAUCGCAGAUCAGCAACGCUGCGGUGAAUACGUUCCCGGGCCU